AUUGAACGCUGGCGGCGGGCUUAACACAUGCAAGUCGAGCGGAGAGAGGUAGCUUGCUACUGAUCUUAGCGGCGGACGGGUGAGUAAUGCUUAGGAAUCUGCCUAUUAGUGGGGGACAACAUUCGAAAGGAAUGCUAAUACCGCAUACGUCCUACGGGAGAAAGCAGGGGAUCUUCGGACCUUGCGCUAAUAGAUGAGCCUAAGUCGGAUUAGCUAGUUGGUGGGGUAAAGGCCUACCAAGGCGACGAUCUGUAGCGGGUCUGAGAGGAUGAUCCGCCACACUGGGACUGAGACACGGCCCAGACUCCUACGGGAGGCAGCAGUGGGGAAUAUUGGACAAUGGGCGCAAGCCUGAUCCAGCCAUGCCGCGUGUGUGAAGAAGGCCUUAUGGUUGUAAAGCACUUUAAGCGAGGAGGAGGCUACUUUAGUUAAUACCUAGAGAUAGUGGACGUUACUCGCAGAAUAAGCACCGGCUAACUCUGUGCCAGCCGCCGCAGUAA
RNAcentral lists this ribosomal RNA (500 nucleotides) under uncultured bacterium. RNAcentral's name for it is "partial 16S ribosomal RNA". It matches the Rfam family "Bacterial small subunit ribosomal RNA", at positions 30 to 523 of the family's 1533-position model. The record is from RNAcentral.